Molecule: ribosomal RNA, 255 nt
Filed under: uncultured bacterium
Lineage: Bacteria
Description: partial 16S ribosomal RNA
Rfam family: Bacterial small subunit ribosomal RNA
Source: RNAcentral
UACGUAGGGUGCAAGCGUUGUCCGGAAUUAUUGGGCGUAAAGAGCUCGUAGGCGGCUUGUCGCGUCGUCCGUGAAAACCUGCAGCUCAACUGCAGGCUUGCGGUCGAUACGGGCAGGCUAGAGUUCGGUAGGGGAGACGUGGAAUUCCUGGUGUAGCGGUGAAAUGACGCAGAUAUCAGGAGGAACACCGGUGGCGAAGGCGGGUCUCUGGGCCGAUACUGACGCUGAGGAGCGAAAGCGUGGGGAGCGAACAGG